AGAUAAAACCUUUUUGUUUUAUAGAUAAAAAGCCCCAAAAUGUACACCACUUAAAAAAAAGCUUAUAAUGUAAAUAAGUUGCCACAGAAUAAGUGUAACUCAAUUUUGACAAAAAUGUCAAAUAAAACCUUAUAAUUCCAAAAAGAUGAUGUGUUGUAUAUGUGCUUUCUAAGAUCAAUUUUUAUCACUUGGUGAAUGAUAAAAUAGAUUUAAAAAACCCAUUGAGGACCACUUGCAUUGAGAGAGGGACCUUAGUCAUAUGUAGAUAGCAGAAGAGAAUCUCUGAGUAACCACCCAGUUCACCCUAUACUGCAUAGUAACAAAUGUAAAAAAACACUUGUUUGUUUUUGCUAUGAAUCUAUUUUGCAAUCUGUAGCAUUGAAAAUUUUCAACCAGGAAAUUCUAUAAUGGUUUCAACAAAGAGAGGUUAACACAUAUUUUCUGUCUUAGAAAUGUAUUGCAUGAAUUUAAUUUAAUUUUGGAAUUAAUUUCUGAUCUUUGUGAAUUCCCUUUUGUAUUCACAGACCUGUCGAGUGGGGCAGUGGAGAGUGGCUCUCGUGGUAUGACUACUACAAACAAGGGCAACAAAGCACUGAAGGUGAAGCGAGAGCCAGGUGAAAAUGGCACAAGUCUUACGGAUGACGAGCUGGUGUCUAUGUCUGUGCGGGAGCUGAAUCAGCACUUGCGUGGUCUGUCGAAAGAUGAGAUCCUGCAGUUGAAACAGCGGCGGCGCACACUCAAAAACCGUGGCUAUGCCGCCAGCUGCCGCGUCAAACGUGUCACACAAAAGGAGGAGCUGGAGAAACAGAAGGCGGAGCUUCAGCGGGAGGUGGAGAAACUCGCCUCAGAAAAUGCUAGCAUGAGGGUGGAGCUUGAUGUGCUGCGCUCCAAAUAUGAGGCUCUCCAGAGUUUUGCCAGAACUGUGGCCCGCAGCCCUGUUGCCACUGCCAGGGGCCCUAUCACAUCUGUCAUAGGGCCCCUCAUACCAGGCAAAGUGGCUGCCACCAGUGUCAUCACCAUUGUCAAGUCCAAAACAGAAGCACGGUCAUAAUGCACAAACUAGGAACAUCUGUAAGUAUAUUGGUCAGUGUUUUCAUCAGGCACAGGGUAACUUAUGUUAUAUAAUGUGAUAAAAUUCAGCAAGAUGAUCUGCUUGGUGACCAUAGAAUAUCUAAGCUAAAGUACACUAAAGUUUCUCUGUUGUCAUUUACAACCCUUGUUGUUAAUGAACAACAAUUCUGAUCAAAGUAUCAUUAAUCAGAAUAUUUCACACUUUAGGUUCACAAAUUCAUUAUUAGAAAAACACGCCAUGUACACUGAAAAAAAUAUACACAUUUUUUUUAAAGGUAAGUGGUUGCUAACCAUUUAUUUUGGCUAUAUUUUUAAAAGAUUAUGUUGAAAAUUUGUUAACUAAUUUUUUUAUUUAAAUAUAGCUAAGAUAUGCAACCACUUACCUAAAAAAAAUUCUGUCCAUGGAACACAAAAUUUGUUUAUGUGCUGCUCUUUCCAACACAGUAGAAAGUAUGCACUAACUGGCAAUCUCAACAAAAGUUUUUAAAAUACACCAUAAAAGUAUAAUAAAAACAGUCACAAAAAAUUCACAUUGUAACAUUUAUACCUCCUGUGAUUAAAGACAAAAGAGUUGAUACCAUUUGUCAUCAGUUGGGGUUUACUAACUAGUAAAGUGACACAUUUCUUUUAAAUUUACAAAAAAAAUAUCUAAAUUAACGCAAGUUACUUCAUUCAUUAUUACCUCUCCUAUCCCAAUGUUGAGUGAAAGGGCCUUUACAGUUGCCAAAAAUAUAACUUUUUAUUUUUUGUUAGAAAAAAAAAUGUAACAUGCAUUUAUUAAUGCAAGUAAUGCAUUUAUUCCCAUAAAAAGUAACACAAUUAGUUGCCUUAAAUAUGGUGUAACACUAUAUUGCAUUACAUUUAAAGUAAUUUUCCACAGCACUGUUGUCAUGGACAUCAAACCUGAAGCAGUGCAUCUUAUGACACAAAAUAUUUGUGCUAAUAGAAGAGAGGGAAAGAUUGUUAAUGAAUAAAUUGGAGUGUGUUACUUAUAGAAAUAUUUUGUUCUUUUUGGGGCUGGACAGACAUGGCCACUGUAUGGAUUCACUGUAUGGAAAAGAGCAUGUACAUUCUGCUAAAUCUCCUUUUUGUGUUCAGGGUUAACUCUUCCAUUUAGCUCCAACUUGAGUUACAUGUGCUUGAUAUUGUCCACUGAGUGAUAUACAGAAAAUACAGUAAAUAUAUUCACUAUUCUAUCAGAAAUGGCGGUGUUCCCUCAAUACAUACUGAUCUUGUAAUUCACAAAGUGAGCAAAAAUUAUUUUUCAGCUAUCUUCAGUUUUCUUUCCUGUUAAGUUCAAUUCCAUUAGUGGAAUGAUGUUUACAAGUUAUAUUCAGAGGAAUAUGACCAGGAGAGGCAAUAAACUACUGUAUUUAUGCAUGGGAGAGCCGAGGACCUGUUGAGCUGUCUGGCAGGUGACGUUCUUCUUUUGCAGAUAUGAGAAACCCUUUUCUAAAAAAAAGAUAUCGCAGAGAGAGGAGGCAUUUACUUGUUUUUAGAAAACUGUGUUGGUAAAACUGAUCAUUCUAGAGCUUUGUUCAGAGUCGUAGAGCUGUGGUUUUGUUGUUCUGUGAUUUGUGUGGAUGGGCUGGUCUCAAAUCAACCCAGCACAAGCUUUAUUGUUGAAUUGUUAGCAAAUGCUCUCUGAUGUCUUAUUCCAGCUACUUUGUUGUUUUCUUUCCUGAAUAAGAAAACAGAAAAAAAAAGUUAUUUAUAUGAACAAAAAAUAGUUUGAUAUCAAUUUUGCAAUUGUACCAAAAGUGGCUUAUUAUUGAAGUCUGAUUGCUUUUCUAGUAAGUAGGCACGUGCAGUGGGGUAGCGCGUGGCGUGCUGUGUAUGUGGUCAGGUGGCAGUGUUGUUCACUGUGUAAGUGUCCAGCUGUAUUCUUUAAAUGGAUAUUAUAAAGAACUAUAGAUGGUGUACAGAAGCCAGUUGUUCAUAUUGGCUUUUUCCAUAUCUCUGUAAUGAAGAUGUCUUGCACUCAGAACACCUGACUUUUGUUGAACGAUAUAAUUUCCAGCUUAACUGCAGCUAUAACUAUAAUAAACCCAAUGUGUAGCUUCAUAAUGGUGCAUAGCCAGUCUGCAGUUCUCUUCCAGCACAGGUGGUUGGGCAAAACACAAUUUAUCCUUAAUGUUUGAGGGCAAGAAAAAUAGCAAGACCUGAAUUUAAAGUUGAGGUUCUGUUCCAAAACCUAGUGAAUUGUCAAUUUUAAGGCAUCAUACAGUAUAUGCUCUCCCAACAUAUAGACUGUUGUAAGACACACUAAAUAAGGAGGCAUGGCAUGAAUGAGUGACAAACUCACUGAAAAAGAAAUGCAUCUAUCUAUUCUCCAAACCACUAUAUAAUAAACAGCCAAUUCUUUAUGAGCAAAAUGUACAAGUAAAGAAUACAAUAGAAUGUGACUUGAUUUGAUUGUCAUGUCAAGUUGAAGGAUUGAAAAUCAGUGUCCGCUAAACAGGAAAGGUGGAUAAAGAUAUUACAUUUAACUAUGCUGACGAUGCUGCCUACCGUAUGUCUACAGACUAGGGUUUGGAACAGAGCUAUAAUAUUUAAAAAGUUAAUUGACUGUCAACCCUGUCAUCUUGCUCUUUAGAACUACAUACAGUGCAAAGAUAUUUGAAAUAAGCUUCAUGAGACUCCUCUGUGAGAGAUGAUCAGGAUUCAAGACCAGAUUCUGAAAACCUUUCAACCCGCCAUCAGAAAGAGGUUUUGCAACAGUAAAAUAUGCAUCCCAUGUUUUCAUAUGUAGGUUAUAUUCUUUCAAAGACUGGUAUGUUUUUAGCGCUUAUUGCUCGUAUAAUGCACUCAACACAUCCAAAUAUCUUAUUUUCUACUUUUGAAAAGCAGCUUUUUGGAGCAUUUUUUUUUUCAUCAUACUUGUUUCACACAGCACUUUGUGCACUCUGUGGUGUUUAAUGUAGUUCUUGGAUAAGUGCCACACUGUACCCUUAUGUGCACAUAAAUUGUUGAUAUUCUUGACCAAUGAUGUUUGUGGUAGUUUGUAUUUAGGACUAUUGUGAAAGGACUGCUGAGUAGGAAGAUAUUUUAGUGAGAUACAGUCACUGCUGCAAAGCUAAAUGUGUGUUUAUUAGCUCUGUUCCAAUCCAAGUUAGCAUCCGAGUGCAUCAUAGGCACAUUCCUGACUCGAAGGCUCCAGCAAUCUUGCAAUGCUUUCUAAGAAAACCUGUUUUGGCCCAAUUCUAAGCCUUUGUGGCAUGCAGUAAAUCCAAUUCCAAAAUGAUCUUCUUUCAAAGAAUUCCUCCAAAAUGUAAAACAUCCUUCAUACAUUUAUUUCAUUCAGUAUAGAAAUUAUAAAUAAAAUGAAAGAAUAGAUAAAAAUAAUUCCGUUAAUUGAAAAACGUGGAUGUUUGGCGACAUUCUUAUUUCAGAAUUAGUGGUAACUCUUUUACAACUACUGUGAGAAACACUAUCUGUCUCACAAUAUGUCAUUUCAGUUCCAUUUCAGUUAACAUGUCUAUGUAGCUCACUAAGUUUUGGGACAGAGCUAUUGUCAUUGCUAAAUUAACUGUAUUGUGGCUAUAUUCAUUUAAUGGUAGGCUAUGCAACAGGCCUUUCGAUGUUUUUAUUGGUUUUGAAUCAUUAAUGAAUCCUAUCAAAAAGCAGUUGUUUUUUUUCCAGUCAGCACAUUAAUGGCAAUGUUAUCAAGCUUUAGGCUUAAUUCAUAAUUUUCUUUCUUUGGUGUGCAAGUGACUGUAAAGGGUUUUAUAUUUGGCACUAAGAGUAGUUCUUUGUAUCAGAUUCGUGGGUCAAUAAAAUAAAGAUAUGAAAUAUGAGUUUAGGAUUGGUUAACAUUGAUAGAAUAUGUUAUGGUUAUUUUUAUCAAUGGGUUGUAAUAAGAUAUAUUGCAGUGCUUUGUAUAAAACACAGUAACAAAAUGGGUGAAUUGUAACUAUUUAUUGAUUAAAUUGUUGUACUUUUUUGCAAUCUAGAUACAACACUGUAUUCAUAUUUAAUGACUGUGGAUUUGAACCAUGCAGUUAACCAUUUUUGAGAUGUGGCUAAGUUAUUGAUUUACUGUUGUACAGCUUCUUUUAUUUUGUAUUUGACUAAUAAAAAUGUUUUGAGAAAGA
Molecule: RNA transcript, 5165 nt
Organism: Carassius gibelio (silver crucian carp)
Lineage: Eukaryota; Metazoa; Chordata; Actinopteri; Cypriniformes; Cyprinidae
Gene name: transcription factor MafG
Exons: 3
Source: RefSeq, a predicted model, not a curated record